AACGAACGCUGGCGGCAUGCCUAACACAUGCAAGUCGAACGAGACCUUCGGGUCUAGUGGCGCACGGGUGCGUAGCGCGUGGGAACCUGCCCUUAGGUUCGGAAUAACUCCCCGAAAGGGGUGCUAAUACCGGAUAAUGUCUUCGGACCAAAGAUUUAUCGCCUUUGGAUGGGCCCGCGUUGGAUUAGCUAGUUGGUAGGGUAAAAGCCUACCAAGGCGACGAUCCAUAGCUGGUCUGAGAGGAUGAUCAGCCACACUGGGACUGAGACACGGCCCAGACUCCUACGGGAGGCAGCAGUGGGGAAUAUUGGACAAUGGGCGAAAGCCUGAUCCAGCAAUGCCGCGUGAGUGAUGAAGGCCUUAGGGUUGUAAAGUUCUUUUACCCGGGAUGAUAAUGACAGUACCGGGAGAAUAAGCUCCGGCUAACUCCGUG
This 433-nucleotide ribosomal RNA is filed under the name uncultured bacterium. RNAcentral describes it as "partial 16S ribosomal RNA". It matches the Rfam family "Bacterial small subunit ribosomal RNA", at positions 29 to 507 of the family's 1533-position model. The record is from RNAcentral.